RNAcentral lists this ribosomal RNA (549 nucleotides) under Blumeria graminis. RNAcentral's name for it is "eukaryotic LSU rRNA". The stretch from base 184 to 337 matches the Rfam family "5.8S ribosomal RNA". Lineage: Eukaryota; Fungi; Ascomycota; Leotiomycetes; Helotiales; Erysiphaceae. The record is from RNAcentral.
AUUACAGAGUGUGAUGCCAUACGGAACUCAGUUUCGUGUGGUUGACCCUCCACCCGUGUCGAUUAUCUCAUGUUGCUUUGGCGGACUCGGCUUGCCCGCGCCCACUUUGGUGGGGGAAUGUCCGCCAGGGAAGACCAAAACUCUUGUUAUCAGUGAUGUCUGAGGAUGAUAUAUAAUCAUGAAAACUUUCAACAACGGAUCUCUUGGCUCUGGCAUCGAUGAAGAACGCAGCGAAAUGCGAUAAGUAAUGUGAAUUGCAGAAUUUAGUGAAUCAUCGAAUCUUUGAACGCACAUUGCGCCCCUGGGAAUUCCCAGGGGCAUGCCUGUUCGAGCGUCCGUAACAACCUCUCAAGCCUGGCUUGGUCUUGGGACACGCUGCUCUAGCGGCGGUCCUUAAAAGCAGUGGCGGGCCUAUGUAACUCUCCGCGUAGUAAUAUACAUCUCGCGAUAGAGAAGCAGAAGGACUUGCCAAAAAUCCUUAAUUGCUCAGGUUGACCUCGAAUCAGGUAGGGAUACCCGCUGAACUUAAGCAUAUCAAUAAGCGGAGGA